GCAGAUAUUGAUACUGAGGACUGCCUAUUUGAGUGUAGUUUUGUUUUCCAGGUAACAUCAGACCUUGUGCUUUUCUCCCCUCCCCUCACUGUUCACUGACUUUAGUGUGCUGGCGUCGCCUCUCCUAGAGGACAGGCGUGGUAGGGAGAUGAAUUGGAACUCAGUUUGAUUUAUUACAUUUCAGGUAAAAGGAUUAUUUAGGAACAGUAGAAUAAAUGGAUUGGUCAAAAUGGUGUUAUGGGACAUCUGAACUUUAAAAUUAUCCAUCUUCUCCCAGUCUUAUUUUUAACCUGGAAAAGAAACUUAAAUAUUCAGUACAUGAUCCUGAGGUUGCCCCUUCCCUGAGUCUGUUAAGGUGUCAUAUCCCAUGUUGGGAGGUCCUGGAAGGACAAAUUCACAUGGAAGUUAGAUAACUGAUGAGAGUGAUGCCGUGUCCAUGUCUGUAGUGGGAUACGGAGGA
Molecule: long non-coding RNA, 460 nt
Filed under: Bos taurus (domestic cattle)
Lineage: Eukaryota; Metazoa; Chordata; Mammalia; Artiodactyla; Bovidae
Description: long non-coding RNA NONBTAT017883
Source: RNAcentral